Molecule: ribosomal RNA, 490 nt
Filed under: uncultured bacterium
Lineage: Bacteria
Description: partial 16S ribosomal RNA
Rfam family: Bacterial small subunit ribosomal RNA
Source: RNAcentral
AUUGAACGCUGGCGGCAGGCCUAACACAUGCAAGUCGAACGGUAACAGGAAGCAGCUUGCUGCUUCGCUGACGAGUGGCGGACGGGUGAGUAAUGUCUGGGUAGCUGCCUGAUGGAGGGGGAUAACUACUGGAAACGGUAGCUAAUACCGCAUAAUGUCGCAAGACCAAAGAGGGGGACCUUCGGGCCUCUUGCCAUCGGAUGUGCCCAGAUGGGAUUAGCUUGUUGGUGGGGUAACGGCUCACCAAGGCGACGAUCCCUAGCUGGUCUGAGAGGAUGACCAGCCACACUGGAACUGAGACACGGUCCAGACUCCUACGGGAGGCAGCAGUGGGGAAUAUUGCACAAUGGGCGCAAGCCUGAUGCAGCCAUGCCGCGUGUAUGAAGAAGGCCUUCGGGUUGUAAAGUACUUUCAGCGGGGAGGAAGGGAGUAAAGUUAAUACCUUUGCUCAUUGACGUUACCCGCAGAAGAAGCACCGGCUAACUCCGUG